This is a long non-coding RNA of Sinocyclocheilus grahami, 889 nucleotides long. RefSeq lists it as uncharacterized. The record is from RefSeq and is a predicted model, not a curated record. The transcript has 3 exons. NCBI's taxonomy places the organism in Eukaryota, Metazoa, Chordata, Actinopteri, Cypriniformes, Cyprinidae.
UAUGGCGGCUUCUAAGAACAGUCUGGAGAUUCCUGUGCUGCUGUGGACACGAUAACUCUGACGUUCAGUUCUCAGUUGAAGAAACAGCUCCAUCUCUUGGUGUCAGCACUGUACGACCAUGGAAUUAUGGUGGAGGUAUUAUCAGGACAGUUUAGAACACUCGAAUCAAGAUUAAGAAACAACUUUAAGUUUAGCACUUAUAAGAUGGAGGAUUGGCCCCCUUGAAAUCAUUGUUGCCCCAGCCACAUCUGUUGCAAAUUCCCGAGAGGAGCCGAUGUCGAGGUGGGACAGAGUUACUGGCGCUCUCGCCCCAUGAAGCGAAGAAUUAUGAAGUAUGAAGAAGGAGUUCUGGAACUACGUUGGGUUUGGUUUGGUCCAUGCAAAGCCGCAUUAGAGCAUAAUCUUGUCUAUUUGAUGGUAAUAGGGAACCCGGGCCACGUGUUGUCACUAAGAUUUAAUUUGACCAACAGUGUUGAGAUUUCUGAUGUCAAAUGAAUUCAAUCACUCAGUCAUUCCUGCUUCAUCGUGAGCAAGAAUAUCAGAGCUGGUAUACAGCACACAAUUUUAUACCAAAGUUCAACGAGAAUAUUUAAGGCCAGUUAGUAAGUAUAUUUCUUCUCUUUCAAAGAAAAUAGUCCCAAAAGAAGCCAAAGCAUCAAGCUAUCAAAUUAUGCACAGACUGGAUGUAAAUAAAUACAUUAUUGGAGUAUUGUCUUACUUUAUCAAAGCAUAAUAUGUUACUUUUUUGCGCCACUGCAUUUCAUAAAUAUCGCUCCUCACUGAUCGUUCAUUUGAAAACAUGAUAGUGGUGUCUGAUAGAAUCAUUCUUUAUCAUAGAGUGGGUAUAGAAAAGAAUCACCCCCCUUUCAAAUAAUCACAUUUUGUUGCU